Molecule: long non-coding RNA, 321 nt
Filed under: Marmota monax (woodchuck)
Lineage: Eukaryota; Metazoa; Chordata; Mammalia; Rodentia; Sciuridae
Source: RNAcentral
CAAAAAUAUAUUUUAAGUGCCUGUUACUAAAAACAUAGUAACACGCACAGGAUUCUUUUUUGUCAUAAGCCAAUUCUCAAAAGAGUUCCUAGUAAUGGAAUAUAAAAAUAAGAUGUUUUUUUCAGGGUAUUUCAUAUUUUCAGAGUUUAAAGUUACUGCUACCCUAAUUUUAAGGAAAGAUUGGGGAGAGAAACUGGAAGAACAAGCCACGUACUCAAAAGUACUCCAUAAGUUAACCUCAAACCUUAAUUCUUGGAACAUCACUCCCUCCCUGUCCAGUCUCGAGAUAAUAUGCCUACGUUAGAUUUGCUUUGAUAUUCA